UGGGGAAUAUUGCACAAUGGGCGCAAGCCUGAUGCAGCCAUGCCGCGUGUAUGAAGAAGGCCUUCGGGUUGUAAAGUACUCUCAGCGGGGAGGAAGGGAGUAAAGUUAAUACCUUUGCUCAUUGACGUUACCCGCAGAAGAAGCACCGGCUAACCCCGUGCCAGCAGCCGCGGUAAUACGGAGGGUGCAAGCGUUAAUCGGAAUUACUGGGCGUAAAGCGCACGCAGGCGGUUUGUUAAGUCAGAUGUGAAAUCCCCGGGCUCAACCUGGGAACUGCAUCUGAUACUGGCAAGCUUGAGUCUCGUAGAGGGGGGUAGAAUUCCAGGUGUAGCGGUGAAAUGCGUAAAGAUCUGGAGGAAUACCGGUGGCGAAGGCGGCCCCCUGGACGAAGACUGACGCUCAGGUGCGAAAGCGUGGGGAGCAAACAGG
Molecule: ribosomal RNA, 429 nt
Filed under: Chloroflexota bacterium
Lineage: Bacteria; Bacillati; Chloroflexota
Description: Chloroflexi bacterium partial 16S ribosomal RNA
Rfam family: Bacterial small subunit ribosomal RNA
Source: RNAcentral